This 736-nucleotide long non-coding RNA is filed under the name Equus caballus (horse). RNAcentral's name for it is "lncRNA (ENSECAG00000056529.1)". The record is from RNAcentral. Lineage: Eukaryota; Metazoa; Chordata; Mammalia; Perissodactyla; Equidae.
ACAUUGUGGAGAGGGAGGCGGGCAGCUCCACCCCUGAUCGGCCAUUCUUCAUUCCCUAGAAUGGGCUUGCCUUCCCAGCCCCAGCUGUGCACUGAAUUAAUCGACACGGGGAGCUUCUCUCUCUACACCGUUUCCACAUGCUCAUCAAGGUCCCGCACCACUUCUGACAAAAGCAAAUGUGGCUCUUCUGACUCGGGAUUUGGGAGACUUUACUCAGGCCUUAAAUGUAAACAUACACCAAACACACACACACACACACACACAGCUUUAAUUGCAUAUUAUGAAGACAGUCAACAGUUAACGCCGAAUCUUCGGAAAACUGAAUAAGACGAUAACAAACAAGAGCGGUUCUGCAGAAAGGUCCGUCUCAGGAAAUGAGUAUGACUUCACUUCUCCAGAAAUGGUUCUUCCAAACAAAGUGGGUGAGAAUAAUUUAGUCAGCAACUAGCCCGAGAAGGGAUGCUAAUCCUUUUCAUUGCCAGCUUCUAGGAGCACACGGGUCAGCCAGGUCCAAGGUCAUCAGCUACUGUUUCCUGCCAGCAAAGCUAAGUCACUAAAAGUUAACUUUCAGGUUUUCCUACUGAUUUCCAUAAGCUUGUAAUAGUAGGCCAUGAAGUUAUCAAACCUUCAUCUGUGAAAAACUUAUCUAAAGUGGUUGAAAAAAUAGGAGAUGCACUUGAAAACAUCAGGUUGGGUGUAUUGAAAUAAAAUAAGAAUUACAUAAAGAAAUGAAAAG